AUUGACUAUUUAAGAUUUUAAGUCUAUUUUUGCCAUUGAUAAACUGUGACUAAAAUGUUUUUCAGUGUCGCUGUCUUUUACAAAAGAAUAUGCAAAUACAUUCACAAUUUUGCCAUGAAGCAAUGGCGAUAGCUCAAAAUGUUUUAUUUGGAAUUGGUGGAACUAUAUUUAUAUAUACAUCAACAAUGAUGGUUUGUCCAUAAGGUUUGUC
Molecule: non-coding RNA, 211 nt
Organism: Paramuricea clavata
Lineage: Eukaryota; Metazoa; Cnidaria; Anthozoa; Malacalcyonacea; Plexauridae
Source: the annotation of a GenBank genome assembly